Non-coding RNA from Ictidomys tridecemlineatus (thirteen-lined ground squirrel), 1408 nucleotides. The record is from RefSeq and is a predicted model, not a curated record. Lineage: Eukaryota; Metazoa; Chordata; Mammalia; Rodentia; Sciuridae.
UGUUCUUUUAAGGAUAGCGCAUGACCAUUUACCUUUUUGUGGACAGUACUCUUGUAAUUAAGGCUAUGCUAAGAUUUUCACUUUAGGUUUAUGAGAGAUCUCAAGAAUUUGAAUAGUUUAUUAAAUAUAGUUUAGGAGAGUCUCAAUGUGUGGACAUAGGUUUUCUAGAAUAAAGUCCACAUUCUAUGACUUGCAGGUCUUACAUGUGAAAAAAUAUCUGCUGAAUGGCAUUGCCAAUAUCCCUUUAUACUUUGAGACUCCUUUCAUAGUUGUUUCAUGACUGCAUGGUACAGAUAGAUUUCCAGGGGAGGGAAAUGAACGGUUCUACUUUUAUUAUUGGCUUUCUGUUGCAAUGAAUUUGUGUCCUGGUUGUUUGAAAUUGGAGAAAUUCAUAGACCGGAAGAAGGUGUUCCCUUGGGAAAAGCAUUAUUAGAAAAUGGAAUUAUCCUCCAUGCUUAUCCUAUGAAAAAAGAUUCCAAAGGCUGUAUUGACUGUUUGGGGGCUAGCAACAAUCUUGGUUCAGUUUUAUUGCUGCAUGCCCCAAAUUUUGAUGAGGAAUGGAAACUGAGAGAGUAGAAUUAACUGUCCAGGUCCCCACAAGAUUUUCCCAACAUCCCAGGGCCUCUGAAUGUGAGACUCCUAUUGCCAACUGCCAUUCUAUUUUUGGGAAGACACUCCAAGAUAUUUUGAAAGUCCUGAAAGACAAAUAAAAUUGGACAAACAUUCCAGAUUGGAGCAAGUUUUCUGUAAUGGUGCCAAGACAUGGUCUAUAAACAGAAGUCAUUGGUUGGUUAGAGUAAGCAUGCUAUACCGGGAGUUGGGGUGGAAGAUGGUCGGGCAGUUGGUAGGAAACCUUAAACAUCAGAAUGAAGAGCUUUUAUUUUGCAAAUGUUGCCAUUGGGUAGCAAUUGAAGAUGUCUGGAAUUCAGUAUUGACAUGAUAUUAAGGUUAGACACUUACUGAAUCUGUUUGAAAAUUUGCUUAACAAAUUGUUUUCUUAUAUUCCAUAAUGUGAAUAUUGCAAUUCUUUCCAUGUCAACCAAAGAAGUAAAUAAAAAGCCCACUUACUGAUAAACUCUGACCCCCAAGUCCUGCAUGUUUGGGCCUAGGCUGUUUCCCUAAGCUCAUUGCCUUUGUCUUUGUAUGUUCACUAGUAUAUAGGGAAUAUCAUGCUUAUUUAUGAGGAGACCAAAUAGGUAUUAACCUUAGAGCCUACGCAUUUAUUCUUCUUGAAUUCAUUUUCCCCAAAACAGCACCUCCCUCUGCCCUCCCAAACUCUAUUAGUGCCAUUUUACUUUAUAGUCUGUUGUUUGCUAUAAAAUUAUUUUCUGGAUUAUUCCCAUCUGAUACUGUUGGCUUCUUUGUUUUCUUUUGUCUUACUAAAGUUUGGUUACCAAAAGGAAUGGAA